This 73-nucleotide transfer RNA is filed under the name Camelus dromedarius (Arabian camel). It matches the Rfam family "tRNA". From Rfam's summary of the family: Transfer RNA (tRNA) molecules are approximately 80 nucleotides in length. RNAcentral also lists the same sequence under 1 other name. The record is from Rfam by way of RNAcentral. Lineage: Eukaryota; Metazoa; Chordata; Mammalia; Artiodactyla; Camelidae.
GAGGGUAUAGCUCAAGUGGUAGAGUGUGUGCUUCGUAUGCACGAGGUUCUGGGUUCAAUCCCCACUACCUCCU